UAGGGAAUCUUCGGCAAUGGACGAAAGUCUGACCGAGCAACGCCGCGUGAGUGAAGAAGGUUUUCGGAUCGUAAAACUCUGUUGUUAGAGAAGAACAAGGACGUUAGUAACUGAACGUCCCCUGACGGUAUCUAACCAGAAAGCCACGGCUAACUACGUGCCAGCAGCCGCGGUAAUACGUAGGGGGCAAGCGUUGUCCGGAUUUAUUGGGCGUAAAGGGAGCGCAGGCGGUUUCUUAAGUCUGAGGUGAAAGCCCCCGGCUCAACCGGGGAGGGUCAUUGGAAACUGGGAGACGUGAGUGCAGAAGAGGAGAGUGGAAUUCCAUGUGUAGCGGUGAAAUGCGUAGAUAUAUGGAGGAACACCAGUGGCGAAGGCGGCUCUCUGGUCUGUAACUGACGCUGAGGCUCGAAAGCGUGGGGAGCAAACAGG
Molecule: ribosomal RNA, 429 nt
Filed under: Gemmatimonadota bacterium
Lineage: Bacteria; Pseudomonadati; Gemmatimonadota
Description: Gemmatimonadetes bacterium partial 16S ribosomal RNA
Rfam family: Bacterial small subunit ribosomal RNA
Source: RNAcentral